Molecule: ribosomal RNA, 545 nt
Filed under: uncultured archaeon
Lineage: Archaea
Description: bacterial SSU rRNA
Rfam family: Archaeal small subunit ribosomal RNA
Source: RNAcentral
CGGGGUGCACCAGGCGCGAAAACUCUACAAUGCAGGCAACUGCGAUGGGGGAACAUCGAGUGAUCCUCAUAUUGGGGGUCUGUCCACCCGUCUAAAAAACGGGUGUUAGCAAGGGCCGGGCAAGACCGGUGCCAGCCGCCGCGGUAAUACCGGCGGCUCGAGUGGUGGCCGAUAUUAUUGAGUCUAAAGGGUCCGUAGCCGGCUUUGCAAGUCUCUCGGGAAAUCCAGCGGCUUAACCGUUGGUCGUCCGGGGGGUACUACAUUGCUUGGGACUGGGAGAGGUAGGAGGUACUCAGGGGGUAGGAGUGAAAUCCUGUAAUCCUUUGGGGACCACCGGUGGCGAAGGCGUCCUACCAGAACAGGUCCGACGGUGAGGGACGAAAGCUAGGGGCACGAACCGGAUUAGAUACCCGGGUAGUCCUAGCCGUAAACGAUGCUCGCUAGGUGUCACAACAGUCGUGAACUGUUGUGGUGCCGUAGGGAAGCCGUGAAGCGAGCCACUUGGGAAGUACGACCGCAAGGUUGAAACUUAAAGGAAUUGGCGG